CAAUAGCGUAUAUUUAAGUUGUUGCAGUUAAAAAGCUCGUAGUUGGAUUUCGGUUAAGAGCGACCGGUCCGCCGUUUGGUGUGCACUGGUUGGUUUUAACUUCCUGUAGAGGACGUGCUCUGGGUUUAACGACCUGGACUCGGAGUCUACGUGGUUACUUUGAAAAAAUUAGAGUGUUCAAAGCGGGCUUACGCUUGAAUAUUUCAGCAUGGAAUAACACUAUAGGACUCCUGUCCUAUUUCGUUGGUCUCGGGACGGGAGUAAUGAUUAAGAGGAACAGUUGGGGGCAUUCGUAUUUCAUUGUCAGAGGUGAAAUUCUUGGAUUUAUGAAAGACGAACUUCUGCGAAAGCAUUCGCCAAGGAUGUUUUCAUUA
RNAcentral lists this ribosomal RNA (374 nucleotides) under uncultured eukaryote. RNAcentral's name for it is "partial 18S ribosomal RNA". It matches the Rfam family "Eukaryotic small subunit ribosomal RNA", at positions 592 to 975 of the family's 1831-position model. The record is from RNAcentral.